UCGGAUUGCAGGCUGCAACUCGACUACAUGAAGCUGGAAUCGCUAGUAAUCGCGAAUCAGAAUGUCGCGGUGAAUACGUUCCCGGGUCUUGUACACACCGCCCGUCACACCAUGGGAGUCGGAAAUGCCCGAAGUCAGUGACCUAACCGAAAGGAGGGAGCUGCCGAAGGUGGAGCCGGUAACUGGGGUGAAGUCGUAACAAGGUAAC
This 208-nucleotide ribosomal RNA is filed under the name uncultured bacterium. Its description in RNAcentral is "partial 16S ribosomal RNA". It matches the Rfam family "Bacterial small subunit ribosomal RNA", at positions 1293 to 1500 of the family's 1533-position model. The record is from RNAcentral.